This 75-nucleotide transfer RNA is filed under the name Glycine max (soybean). Its description in RNAcentral is "tRNA-Glu". The stretch from base 5 to 67 matches the Rfam family "tRNA", at positions 5 to 66 of the family's 71-position model. Rfam says of the family: Transfer RNA (tRNA) molecules are approximately 80 nucleotides in length. Their secondary structure includes four short double-helical elements and three loops (D, anti-codon, and T loops). RNAcentral also lists the same sequence under 1 other name. Lineage: Eukaryota; Viridiplantae; Streptophyta; Magnoliopsida; Fabales; Fabaceae. The record is from RNAcentral.
UAUUUUGUAGUCUACUUGGUUAGGAUACUUGGCUCUCACCCGAGAGACCCGGUUCAAAUCCCGGCAACGGAAUAA